GGGCUGUAGUCGGUCCCAAGGGUUGGGCUGUUCGCCCAUUAAAGCGGUACGCGAGCUGGGUUCAGAACGUCGUGAGACAGUUCGGUCCCUAUCCGUCGUGGGCGUAGGAAAUUUGAGAGGAGCUGUCCUUAGUACGAGAGGACCGGGAUGGACAUACCUCUGGUGUACCAGUUGUCGUGCCAACGGCAUAGCUGGGUAGCUAUGUGUGGACGGGAUAAGUGCUGAAAGCAUCUAAGCAUGAAGCCCCCCUCAAGAUGAGAUUUCCCAACUUCGGUUAUAAGAUUCCUCAAAGAUGAUGAGGUUAAUAGGUUCGAGGUGGAAGCAUGGUGACAUGUGGAGCUGACGAAUACUAAUCGAUCGAAGACUUAAUCAAAA
Molecule: ribosomal RNA, 375 nt
Filed under: Escherichia coli
Lineage: Bacteria; Pseudomonadati; Pseudomonadota; Gammaproteobacteria; Enterobacterales; Enterobacteriaceae
Description: partial 23S ribosomal RNA
Rfam family: Bacterial large subunit ribosomal RNA
Source: RNAcentral